Long non-coding RNA from Bos mutus (wild yak), 4622 nucleotides. Lineage: Eukaryota; Metazoa; Chordata; Mammalia; Artiodactyla; Bovidae. The record is from Ensembl.
CGAAGAUUGCUCACUACAGGGGUAGGGACUUGGGGGGAGGAGGAUGUACCAGACUCAUUCCUCUUCACCCUGGGAAUGACCAGUAGAUGAACUGCCUGGAUUUUGACUGCAUUCAGAAAUUUCUGACCACAGGACUCAUGGACCACCUUUUGAAGUUCUGGGGAUAAUAAGAAACAUCUGAAUGGCUUAUUCUAGCCCUGUGAGCUGACCUCCAGAGCUAACUUGGUAGCCCCACCCUUCGGGUGGGGAAAAGCCCAAGAACUCUUAGGAGUGAAGCCUUUCCCGCUCUCUUGCUGCUCCUCCUAAAUGUUUCCUCUGCAGCUGCAUAGGCUGGCAGGCAGCCUGAGAUGGAGCCCUACUCAGAAGAUCCCCACCUCUGCUGGGUUGCCCGGCUCCUGGGACUCACCAGCCUCCUCCUCAGCAUCUGCAGCACAGUGGUCCAGAGUUCUGGAAAAUAUGGUUCUGAAGUUCAGAAUUCUAGAUUUGUUCCCAUGCAGGGGAUCCAAGGAGGUUCUGUGUUGUUUCAUAUAGUCAAGAAGCAAGAAGCUGACCCAGAGGAGGUCUCAUGGGGCUUUGGCCCUGAGUUAAACUACAGAGUCCUGCUGCGAGUCCACCGUGGGGCAGACACCCCAACCUGGGUCAGCCUCCAGGACAAGUACCAGCAGAGGGUCCAAGUGCCCAAUGUGACAUCCUUGAAGAUUGAGAACCUGACCCCAGAGGACAGUGGGCAGUACCGGGCUCGAGCCAGCUUCACUGGAGGAAUGGAAUUGAACCAGGUUUUCCUCCUCACUGUCUAUGAGCCUGUGAUCCUUCCUGAGAUCCUGGUCAAGUCAUCAUCAAUCACACCAGGCUUGUGCAAUGUCACCCUGGAGUGCAGGGACCCAGGGAAGAGAAAGGACCUGAAGGUGACCUGGGAGAGCGAGGGCCUUCCCAGGGAGCUGGAGUGGAGUGGGACACCAGGACCAGCCCCCAGCUCCUGGAGCCUGACUGUGAACCUGUCUCUGAGCCAGCCCAAUGCCAGCCUCACCUGUGUGGUCAGCAACCAUGCAGACAAGAAAACUGCCACUGUAGACUUUGCACAAGUCUGUUUCCCUGGUUCACAAGAGCAGACCAUUGCUGGUCUUCUUGAAGGCAUCCUCUGUGGCGUCGUGGCUGUGCUAUUCUUCCUGGGAGCUGGACUGUACUUUUGGAAGACAUAUAAGAAGGAAAGGAACACAGAGACUGAAAGAGGAGCAGCAUCGCAGGAGGACCACAGGAACCAAGAUGAUGGCGAUUGGGCAGAGCAGAGCCAAGAAGAGUAUCAACAAGGCAUGUACCAGAGUAUCAGUGCACAACGUAUGGAACAAGAGUUGCCUCUCAACACUGUCUACUUUGCACAACAUCUGGAACAAGAGUUGCCUCUCAACACUGUCUACUAGUUGCCUCUCAGCACUGUCUACUCUGCGAUCCAGAACAUACCUGUGAGGGUAUGAAGAUAAUAUAAUUGGAGGAAACAGAGGAAUCUUGGGACACCUCCACUCUGAUGCUGACAUCCUUCAGAUACCUGCUUGAAUUCUGGUUCAGCUCUGGCUGCUCCUUGUCUUUUACUCUGACCUUUGUGAUCUCAGCUCAACAAGAGAUUGAGCUGGAAUUUCAGAGCCUAUAAUGGACCAAGUUUUAUCCUGGGCACUCUACAAAUAUUAUCUCUUCUAAUUUUCACGAGGAACCUCUAGGGUAGGUAUCAUGUUCUGUAUUUUAUAGGACAGUAAAUAUUAUUCCCAAGCUGUUGGUGGCAGAUGAAAACCUUAAAUUCAACGCUGAGUGAAUCCAGAUUUCACAUAUUACUCUUUCUGUACAUGGGCACUGAAUCCUGAAAUAUUGGAUGGGAAUAUCCUUCCUUUGUUCCUCUCCCAAAGACCUAGCCUCUGAUGCUGGUGCUGAAAUAUGGACUGAGUUCAUUGGUAAAUCAUCUGGUGGCUAAAGAGGUAUUACCCCUUAAGUGGACAAUGGGGACUUGGUGCACGGGAGGCCUGGAAAGAGGGAUCUUGACUUCAGUUUAGAGGAAACAUUCUGAGAGGAAUGCUUCUCACUCUUGGGUCUUGUAAGAGUUCUUCCUCUCUUUACAAGGUGUAUUGUGGAUUUCAGCAGCACAGUCUUCAAACCAGCUCCACUUACAUUGUUAUUCAAAAGUUCACUCAAUAGAUUUUACAUAAGUUUUUCAUUUAAACAUUCAAUGAUUCUGUGAGGCAGAAAUUUCCACUGCACAGGUGGAAAACUAAAACUUGCAGAUUUUAAACACCACAUUUAAGCAUAUCAAGUAAAGUGAUAUGCUUGAUUUGGGUUUACAGAGGAUCACAAUUUCACUAAUUUUGACUCUUUUUAUCCUCCAUUAUUCCAGACACCCAACCAAUCAUUAUCUUCCAUUGGGUUAUCCUUCAAGAUGAUUUUUGUAGUCCACCCUCCUCUCGUUCUUUUAUUCUUAUUUUCUACCUAUAGAAAUAUUCUACCUGAAGUUUCACCAUUUUCACCUUUCCACCAGCAAUAUAGGAGGAUUCCUGCACAUAACUCUUAUAAUUUUUUUGAUUAUAACCUUCCUAGUAUGUGUGUGAUGUAGUAUCUCACUGUCAUUUUGAAUUGCAUUUAACUAAUAAUUAAUGAAAUUAGAAUAUGAUUGCUUCUUGGCAGGGAAACUAUGAAAACCUAGACUGUGUUAAAAAGCAAAGAUGUCAUGAUGGUGACACAGGUCCAUAUAAUCAAGGCUAUGGUAUUUCAAGUAGUCGUACAGUUGUGAGAGCUGGGCAAUAGAGAAGGCUGAGUGCCAAAGAAAUGAUGCUUUCAAACUGUGGUGGUGUAGAAGACUCUUGAGAAUCCCAUGGAAAGCAGGGAGAGCAAACCAGUCAAUCUUAAUGGAAACCUGGAAUACUCAUUGGAAUGCUUGAUGCUGAAACUGAAGCUCCAAUAGUUUGGCUACCUGAUGUGAACAUCUGACUCAUUGGAAAAGACCCUGAUUCUGGGAAUUGAAGGCAGAAGGAGAAGAGGGCAACAGAGGAUGAGAUGGUUGGAUGGCAUCACUGCUUCAAUGGACAUGAACUUGGGCAAACCUGGGAGUUGGUGAGGGACAAGGAAGCCUGGUGUGCUGCAGUCCAUGGUGCUGCAAACAGUUGGAUACGUCUUGAUGACUGAACAAAAACAGUGAUGAUGAAAAAGGUUGAAUGUUUUUUCAUGUGUAUUAACUAUUUGUAUACCUUAUUUGAAUUAAUCCAUCUCUCCCUCUAAGUCUCUCUCCUCAUGCUUUGUUUCCACCAUACCAAUAGAACUGCUUUUGUUCAAGUCACUAGGAAACCUCAUGUCAUUAAAUCUAAUAGACAGUCUGUUUCAUCUCCCUUGAAGCUCAGCAGCAGUGGCGCUGUCCUUGCUUGAAUCCCUGCAUCACUUUGUAUUCAACAAUCACAAUUCUUCCUCUCACACUCAGUGGUAGCUUCCUUGUUGCUUUGACUAGUUUCUUUCUUAUCUCUUCAAUCUCACAAUUCUGAAAUAUCCCAGGGAUCAGACACAGACCAUCCACAUCACCUUUCUUCACUAUCUACACUCAUUACUUUCUGGUGUUAUGCUUCUGCUGCCGCUAAAUCGCUUCAGUCGUGUCCGACUCUGUGCAACCCCAUAGACGGCAGCCCACCAGGCUCCCCCGUCCCUGGGAUUCUCCAGGCAAGAACACUGGAGUGGGUUGCCAUUUCCUUCUCCAAUGCAUGAAAGUGAAAAGUGAAAGUGAAGUUGCUUAGUCGUGUCCGACUCUUUGUGACCCCAUGGACUGCAGCCUACCAGGCUCCUCCAUCCAUGGGAUUUUCCAGGCAAGAGUACUGGAGUGGGGUGCCAUUGCCUUCUCUGUUCUGGUGUUAUGGCCAUGCACUAAUCCCCAAACCUGUGUCUAUGUAAGUUUAUGAGGGAAAAAUGUCUUACAGAUGUAAUCAAAGUUAAGGUCCUUGAGAUUGGGAGAUUACUCUGGAUUAUCUAGGUGGUCCUAUUUUAAUCAUGGAAGUUCACAAAAGUGGAAGAAUAAGAGGUAGAAAAGUGGAUCUGAGAGAUAUGAGGUGAGAAUUUGACAUACUACUGCUGUCUUUGAAGAUGGAGUAAGAGGACCAUAAGUCCAGCACAUGUGGGGGUCUGUCGAAGCUAGGAAAGCUUACAACUAGGUGAACGUGAAGACUUCAGUCUUACAACUGCCAAGAAUGGAAUUCAGGUCAUAACAAGAACCAGCAGAAAAUGAAUUCUCCUACUGAGACUCUAGAAAGGAUCAUAGCUUAUGAAUACCUCAAUUCAAUAUCAGUGAGAUUCACACCAGAUUUCUGAUUUUCAGAGCUGUGAGAUAAUAAUUUUGUGUUGAGCAACUAUAUUUGUAGUGAUUUCUAUGGAAGCAAUAGAAAACCAAUAUAGAUAUCAUCUGAUGAUUUUAAAUACUUGACUGCUCCAAAAAUUCUGGUCUGGAUUUCUCCAAAGGAGUCCACAUUGUAAAUAUCCAACUGUUUACUUGACAUCUCCACUUCGAUGUAUAAUAGAUAUCUCAAACUUUACAUGUCUAUGUUUAAGCUUCCUAACCAUGUUCUUAUACAGUUUUCCAAUCCCAAUAAAUGCUACCUUCAUACUCA